RNAcentral lists this long non-coding RNA (905 nucleotides) under Homo sapiens (human). Its description in RNAcentral is "HSALNT0083441". The record is from RNAcentral. Lineage: Eukaryota; Metazoa; Chordata; Mammalia; Primates; Hominidae.
GCCAGAGAGAGAGCGGGUGGCUGAGCUGUGGCCACCAGGCAUCCUGAGCACGCCCCUGCCAUGUUGAGGGUACUGAGCACAAGCUCCUCCCUCAUAGCUUGCCAUGGGGAUGCUCAGAGCCCACCAGGGAUUUGUGGCCAAGCGAUGCAGGAGCAGGAAGUGCUGCCGGCAGGGCAUGAGCCUGUCUGGGUGAAAGUUCGAAGAUGGCUGCUGGGCCACAGGGGACCCUGGGAGACCUCCACAGGCUGCAGCGUGUGCGCUUCUUGUAUGUGCACAAGAGCAGAGCCCUAUGGUCCAGCUGAAUGCAUGUAUGUGCAUAUGCUUUCUUUGUCCAAAUCACAGAUAAUUUUGACUGGAAGAUAGGUGAAGAGAUGGGCCAGAGGUUUUGGAAUCCUUGGUCUGCACCAGUUUGGAGCUACCACAGAAGAGAGGAAGGGCCUGCAUGAGUGUCAUGAAGCAGAUUCUCAGAGACAGAGACGUGGGCAGCAUCUUCGUGUGGACAAAAGCCUGCUCCAGACUUCCCUAGCUGCUCCUCCUGCAGGCGCCUGUUUUUCCUGCUGGUGACUGCGCCCACGUUUCCCAGGGAGCCUCCCUGCUCCAGCGGCAGCCUCUGCACCAGUUUGAACCUGUGCUUUCCUGGAGUCACACCUCCUUGACCAGCUGGGGGCGUCUCGUCAAGAUGGGGGCAAUCGCUCGUGGAGGGCGCUUGGCUACCCCCCAUGCAGUCACCUCAGCAGCAGGUGCACGUAAUUACUACCACACACGUUCACCACCCUGCACCGCCAUUUCCCCUUUAGCAAGACGGGGGUGAGUGUGUGCAUAUGUGAAAAAACAUAAACAGAUUGUACAACAAAGUGUUCUCUAGCUGUCAGCAAGAGCUUUGAAAAUAAAACACUUCCCUCCCA